Molecule: non-coding RNA, 2852 nt
Organism: Peromyscus maniculatus bairdii (prairie deer mouse)
Lineage: Eukaryota; Metazoa; Chordata; Mammalia; Rodentia; Cricetidae
Source: RefSeq, a predicted model, not a curated record
UCUGACAAAACAGGACAGAAUAUUUGAAAUCAGGGAUGUCUCGGGAAACUCUCUAAAUUGGUUCUUGUCCCUGGCCUGGUCGUCCAGGGUCGCGGAGGGCUGCACACACACUACUUGGGACUUCAGAGCCCAGUGACGUAGAGGUCGGUGGAGCUGGAUGGGAGAGGGCGGGGCUCUGAAGGCUUGGCCCCACCCCCAGGCUCUCCCAACUAUGACGGUUGGAGGCAGUUAUGGGUGUGGCUAGAGGCUGAUUGACACUCUCUAACCCCACCUCCGCUUCAGCACCGGUGAUUGGAGGCAGCGAGAGGAGUGGUGUGGGCGGCUUGACCUAACUUACACCCCGAACUGGGAUGAUGCAGUGAGGGGCGUGGCGCAGCAGGUCACAAGCUGGAAGGCAGCAGCCUUGGCACCACUGUUAGAGGUCAUGGUAGCACACAGAGCCGCAGAGCGGAGUGGACUAAUGAACGUCUUUCCUGUUGGUGUGACACUGCUGUCACCGUCUGCGUUCAAGAGCACCAACAGCCUUCUGAUGUCCAAACUGUGGCGGGCGAGCUGCUGAGCUGCAGAUGAAACCCUUCUGUUAAAACUGAGCCCAGGUCAGUUGGAGGUAGUUGAUGUCCUGGUUUAGCAGUUGAGUAUAACACAUUAAAUCUUCCUGUUGUGGUCUUCCAACCACAUAGUCCAUAACUGCAAGAGCCACCUUUACAACAAGAUUUGUGUGUCUAGAGCUGAGUUGAGCAUCGGCGGGGGCUAUGGUGCUGGUUUUCCUGUGGCUAGAACUACAUCCCCACAGUUAGCAGUAUGAAAGGGUCCAAUACAGCUCUGAGCUUCAUGUACAGUUGAGAAAAGUCCACAAAAAGGAUAUUGUUAGUGUUGAUACAACACCUCCCUUAGUCAUGGGAAUGACUCUUGCAAGUUGUUCAAGGAUAGUCAAGCAAGGAGCCAGCAGCCUUAGCUAGAGAAGGGAUGCAAUGAUGCUGUCUCCAAGAUUGUAUUUAGUGCUAAUGACUGUUAGAAGGCACUGUGUUAUGAAGAUCAGUUAUGUUAGAAGGCACUGUGUUAUGAAGCCAGGGAGACCUCAUCAGUGCUUGCCUCCCCUUCCAAGGCUGACUCAACCUGGUUGGGAACAGCAGCCUUGAUGGCACUCACUAGGUACUCAAUAAAUAUUUGUAGAAUGCAUGAAUGAAAAGGCUCUUGUCUUCUGUACCCUCAGCCUGGGCAGCCUCCGUCACUGGGUAGCUUUAAGUUGUGUGGCUGCUUUCUCUUGCCAGGCUGAGCUGCAGAGGUCAGAGACCCAGAAGGGACCUUGAGCUCUUGGGGAAACUGGAGUCAGAGCAGGCAGGUUUUAGGAAACAACCUUCAGAGUGGGGCAGAAGGAGCUAGAUCAGCGGAGCUGCAGAGGCGGGGUGGGGUGGGGGGCGGGGAGGCUUGAGAAAGAGAUGAGACAUCUGUGUGCAGUGGUAGUGUGGAAGCAGAGUUUGAAGGCCACUGUAAAGGACCCAUUGUCAGGUCCCCAUAUGCAGGGGCACAUUUACGCACCCCAGUGUUGGGGUGCAUAGGACCCAGAGCAGCUUUUGUUGUGUUUGGGUGGGAUAUUUAAACAGAAUCAAAAAUCCUGAAGAGCCAUUCCACUUCAGAGACUUUAUUCCACAGAAAUGCUGCUCUAACCGCGCAGCUCCAGGGGCAAGGAAGUCAUAGCAGCCUUAAGAAACUGAGCUGCAGUGGUGGGAAAGUCUGGGCAUGAUGUACCUAUACGGUGAAGUGCAAUGCAGUCUUGAUGGAGUGAUAAGGCGGGUAUCAACCUACACGGAACUUUUCAGACAAGAAGAUUGAAACAGACCACAGAACAACACACACAGCAGCGCCCCCCCCCCCCCCCCCCGUGUCUGUGCAUAGGGGAAACGACCCCCCUGCCUGGGUGCUUCUCCCUCCCAGAGAAUGGAAUUUAGGGUAGCAGAAGAGGGACUCACACUCUGGACUCCCCUUAAAUGCUGGGAUGAGCACAUGCCGCCUUGGUGAUAAAAAGGAAAAGGGAAAGUUGUAGGAUGGAGCACUGGAGAGAAGAGCUGAGCUCAGCGGCCGGCUGGGGCUCGGACUCCAGGCGAGCCUGGUGGGAUGACAGCGCCAGUGAGCAGGCCUUCUCCAGACGGCAAAGCCCUUGCAGAAGUUUCCCGGCAGAAGGUGUUUUUGAAAGAAGUGUUAGCUGAAGGAAGAGGUCUGGUGGGGAGGUUUGAAUCUAAUGGAAGACAGGCUAAGCCCAGGAAGGCUUGGACACAGGCGACAGGCAGGCUAAGCCUAGGGAGGCUUGGACACAGACAGCAUGGAAGCGUACAGAGUAGAGGCCGCUUGGCUGGAGGCAGAAGAAUUUUCCAUGAAAAAGGAUGGAGCGUGUUGUGGGAGGGGUGUGGGCAGAUGAGCGGGAGUGCUCACAGGGACGGCCUGGAUAGUUGUGACCGGGCAGCUGUGGCCAAUUGGAAGGAGUUCAAGAAAGGAGUGGAGGGUUCCAGUGAUUGGUGAUACCUGAGAUGGGAAAAAGAGGCAUCAAGCGCUCAACUGACCCCUACAGAAGCGCUCGGUGCGGACUACAGAGGAGUCCACGGUGGAAUACUCCAGAAGUGCUGCAUCUUUUAGCAGGACUGGAAACAGCUGAGGUCCGUCUGCUCCCAGGCCGUAGAUGGGACAGGCAAGGCCGGCAGGCAGCUUGAACAUGGUGGAAACCUGAUAUACAGCUCUUGGGAAAGUUUCUCACGCAGAUUUGUCUGUCGGGAUGGGGCUGCAAAAGUAGGGGCAAGGUCAAAUGUCUGGGUUGUGCCUAGGUAGGGUGCAAUGGGUAUUAAAGCAAUGAGUCUAGA